Papaver somniferum (opium poppy) is the source of this 1643-nucleotide long non-coding RNA. RefSeq lists it as uncharacterized. The transcript is spliced from 7 exons. NCBI's taxonomy places the organism in Eukaryota, Viridiplantae, Streptophyta, Magnoliopsida, Ranunculales, Papaveraceae. The record is from RefSeq and is a predicted model, not a curated record.
UUUCGAUCAUUCCUUCUCUCUAUACAGCCGUAAGAAGAGAAGAAGAGAUAGGAGCAGUAGCUGGUGGUAAAGAAAAAGAUAUUGGUGCAAAGAUCGCACCUAUCACUAAACUUGAAGAAGUUUACGACUGAUCAAUAUACAAGUAAUGGAUUCUCGAUAAGUAUUAUUGGAUAUUUCAAGAAGGAGCAAUCUUGUUGUUAUCGUUAUAACAGAUUGUUGGCAGUAAUUGAUUGCUCAAAUGUGAAAAAAGUAAAAUAAAACUAAAGAAUGGGUGAUGUGGAAAGUAUGGAACUGAAAUUCAGAAUUGAUAAUACGGGUAUUGCUCAUAUGAAUUAUGCUUCUACUACGAUUGCAACUCUCAAGGAACAUCUUGUUGCACAAUGGCCUCAAGGUUUGGAACUUCUUUAUUUAACAUUCCGUAUGUCUAAUAAUUUGGUCGUGUUUGCACAUUUGAACUCGUUUAUGUUUAAAUGCUUUGAAUUGGUUUGCUUCUAGAGUAGAUAACUUGGUGGGCUAAAGUUUGUGGGAUCAUAUGCACCUGGCAUAUUAAUAUGUUGUAUACCGACUAAAGCUGGUACUACGAGUACGGUUCUUUAUUAUCAUCUUGGUGUCAUUUUCUCUCAUGGUAUGUGAUAUCGACACUAUUUGGAACGUCCUAUGCACUGAGCCCUAUUUUAUCUGCAUGGAGGAAUCUAUGUACUGAUAUUGAUAGAAUGGGAGGUUAUGCAGAAUUUCUUAUGGUUCAGUAAUAAUUGCAAAAUCAUAAUCUGUGCAAAUUUCAUGUUCUGAGUUAGUUUCAUCCUUCCAUACCCCUUGAUCCUGAUGGGUAUUUUGUUUGAAUGGUUAAAGUUAGUAGUGGGUUCGGAUUAUUUAUGGCCUUACGGGUGAAAAAAUGAUCGAGUGGUGUCUUCUUACUUGUUUCUUUCUGUGGAUUUUGUAGGUUGAGUAUUAUUUCAGUGAUGCAAAUUUGGCGAUGUAUUCGAAGCUUAUAAGUGGCUGUAAGUGAAGAUGGAAGUAGGUUAGGUAUCAAAAUUCAUUCACCGACUCAGAUAUGAAAGGGAUUGCAGAGGCUUCAGCAAUAACCACUGCAGAAUCCAUGAACCCUUUCCUGAUCAGCUGCUAAGUUGGUGUUUAUCUGCAAGAAUUUCCAAUUUAAAGGGAGCUUGCUUACCAGAAGAAUAUAGAGGGAUGCAGUUCCAACCUUGGUAUGAUUAUAUGGAAGUACCAAUUGAUUAUGACAGCCUUCUUUUAACAACUUUCUACUUUCCUUGCUCUAGCUUUGAACAAUUCAUUCCACUUGUUACCUUUUAGUUCUCUCAGACUCUUCUCUUGCAGAUAAAUAGACUGCAGGGGAUAGUUAUAGAUGGGUACAAUAACGAAGUCCCUUUGAAAAGCUUACUCAUUCCUUUGGUUCUUAUACAACAACGAAUUCAGCAUCCUCGUGUGAUCAUCCUCUCAAAGCCACAAUAAUUUGCUGCAUUCUAAUUACUGAUCAUUGUAAGAGAUUGUAACAUUCUGUUUCUAUAUGCAAUCCUUAGAAGCUAAAACAAACAUAGUAGCACCAGCACGAUGUAAGAACAAGAACAUAUUUGCAUAUGCAAUCUUUCAGUUGUACAAUUUGACACUUGAUUUUCUUAAUGCAA